This is a non-coding RNA of Anas platyrhynchos (mallard), 1386 nucleotides long. The record is from RefSeq and is a predicted model, not a curated record. Lineage: Eukaryota; Metazoa; Chordata; Aves; Anseriformes; Anatidae.
CAGGUUCGGGACGCAGUUUGAUCAUACAGAUUCUUGCUUAAAAAUAUCUGUAAGAUGUAAUUUUCUUACACAUUCAGCCAUAACAAUCCUCAGCAGCAACAUGUCCCAUCGAAUACAGCCUUGACUCACAAAUUCCAUCCUGUUGCUCGUUUCCUUUCAGAUAACGUUCCCAUGGACCACCCACCCACCCACAAACGCAGAGGUUCUCCUUGUCAGAUCCGCCUGUACCUCACAGCUUCAUUGCUUGCUGAUUCCUAGCUCCGGGCAGACAGGAUGCAGGUUCACAGAUGGACACCUCGGUGCUUUUUUCCAUUAGUGCCUCCAGGACACAGUAUGAUCCUUCCUGCCCCUGGACAUCUCCUGCUACAGACCCAGAGGGGAACCAGGUUCCACGCUGGCAAAGCUUCUGAACGGGCAGUGGAAACCCAGCAGGAUGAGGGGCACCCUUGGGCACUGACACAGCUUUUGUUGAUUGGGUUGGAUUCAGGAGGAAAGCAGUUGUAUUUCAGUGCACGGCCGAAGCGUGGUGAGCCCUCAGGAUGCCCCACUGGUGUGGAUACUUUGUCUGUAAAAUUGGUAAUGGUAGGCAAUCCUCCCAGGUUCUCCUCAACUGCCCUAAGCAUGGGCAUCUUGUCGGAGCAGCCCAGCUUCCUAUAGAAAAACUACAAGAAUACCACUUUAAGAAUAAAACAUUUUAAAGGAUCUUUAGGGCAAAAUUCUCCAGAUGCACAAAACAGCAAAUGACUGCCUUUGAUAGAAGUAUGCAGUGCAAAGCUCUGGCUCUUCAGGUGUCUCUAAGAGCUCACAUCAGGCACAGUCAAUCCUCAGGGCUCUGUAUCAGGUCAGCUGCAAGUCCACCUUCCCGUGCUGUGGACAUGAGCAGCAAACAAAACCCCAGAGGUUGAGGGAAAGCUUCGCAGCAGAUUGGCCAAAGUGCCCAGUGUUUACCUUGCUGAAAAUAAACUGAAAUCCCAGAUUAAAACACCUAGGAACUUCAGAAGAUGAGUCUGUCCACGCUGGAUUUAACUUGAAAUGUGCAAUGAAGAAAAGACCAAGUGCAAGAGCUCAAAUCUUUCUUCCUAGUCUCUAUUUAGCUACACCAAUAAGCUACAAAUUUUUAAGACUGUUUUUAUUAGUUCUACCCUAAUUUUGCUGCUUUUUUAACAUAGAAGUGGUGUAAAAACCUUAUAAAAACACAAUGCUCAAGAACUGCUGCUUAAAAAUGGAUUGCUCACUGUUUUUCUUUAUUGAUGACAGAGCAGAAAAAAGCACGGAGAGCACUACUAAACUAAAUUGCUGGUUGUAAAUAUGUCUACUUACACAGAGUGAAAAUGCAAAGGACUCUUCAAUUUUUAUAGUAAAAAAAAUAAAAUCACUGAUUCUUUA